UAUUUCUAACAAAUUUUGCCUAUCGAUAAAGCCAAUUUUUACAUAGUGUUCUGUAAAAAUGGUUGGUUCUUGAUUUUGUCUUUCAAAUAUGAAAGAAGUUAGGUAUUUAUUUUGCUUUCCAAACUCGUUCAAAGUGAAGAAACUUAAGUUUCAAUUAUAAAUCUCAAGUGCAAAAAUUCAAUCAGUACAUAUCUUCUUAUCUUCUUGAUAUAAUUGAAGAUGGUAGAUACUUCACUACAUUAUGAAGAUUGUAGAUACUCUUAUUACCAUAUAUUUGUUGUGUAGUAUUAAAUAAUAACGAUCUCACUUGAAGCUGCAUUAUUUGUUUAAGCAACAUUUGUUCAAAGAAAAAUAAAAACAAUAUAUAUAUAUAUAUAUAUUUUGUACUCAUACGGGCGAGACUGAAGAUCCGGUCAUCCUGACCGAGACUCGGACUUGCUGACCGAGACCGGGGAAAUCUUGUCGAGACCACAAAAACUUGGUCGAGACAAGAAAAAUCGCCACGGUCAAUCUGACCGGCCGACCCAUACAUUCAUUAACGCUCAAAUCGAGGUUAGUGGAGCUAAUCUGUCAUUAAGGAUUAGGUAAUACACCUAUAAGUGAGAUUCAUUACACUAAUCAGAUCCAACAAGGUAAGUCCAUUAAAAUGGUAUAAAUAACACAUAUCCUAAGGAGAAAGGUACGUCAUUUAUUAUUGUGCACCUACCCGAAUGCGAUCACCCGCUUUACUGACUUGAGCGUUCCGCAGGUACCUCCAUUCGAUGUUCACCCAAGACCGAGAGUCGAAGAAGAAACACGAAGACGAGAAGAACUUCAGUCAAGCACUCAACAACCUGUCUGAUCAAGGAGGAGGACGAAAACUUCAAUAGUUCUCUAGGUCCUAUCUCCCUAGCAGAAACAUAUAUAUAUAUAUUUUUUAAAGAGACUUAUCAUAAGAUAAGUGUUCUGAAUGGAAAAGAGAUUAAUUAUGUGACAAAGCGAACCUCCUUUAUAGAAGAAUCCAAAAAAGUGAAAAACAGCAACACCAUUAUUGAAAUCAUUGAAUAAAACAAAGAACAAGAGAAUUAGAUUCCACCCAAAUUAAGUGUAAGGUUUACAUUUCCCUUCAUGUGAGUGAGCAAAGAAUCUUUAGUUUGUGUAUUUAUAGAAAGCCUUAGAAACCCAAUAAUAAUGCAGUGGAGAAGCAUUUGAUUAUUAGUUCAGGUGAAGUGGUCAAACAGAGAUAUAAUAUAAUAUUUUGUCUUUAGGUUCAUCAGAUCCUAGUAAUAAUAAUCCAUUUACAUCAUUGAGUUUCAGUUGCAGAUAUAUAUAUGCAUGUCUCCACCUAUUUCUUCAUAGAUUUUCAGUUUUCAUUCCAGUUCUGUUCAUUAACCAUUUCAUUACAUUUUUUCUUAUGUAUAUAUGGUUUUAACUGCCAUACAUGCAUCUAUACUGAUAAGAUGCAUAUAAGUUUAUAUAUAUGGCAUGAUAAGUGAUGCAUGAUGCAUCUUAUAUAUAACCUUUUGGUUUGUUGGAGUAAACUUGUUGAUGUCUUUUAUGCAGGUUUUUGACUUUUGGCUCCUUUCCCACUCUCCAAUAAUGGAAAAAGCGACGAUAGAAACCUUUGAACCCAUAAAGUUAGAAACCAUUGAACCCAAAUGGAUUGACAAUGAACCAGAAGUUGGACCCUUUUGGAACCAAAGCACAGCAAAUAAACACAGGGAGGUGAAGAAGUCGCAUACAGACCUAAGCAAACCUGUCCAAACCAAAAUCUGGUGGAAUGGAAAAAAAACUCUUUUCUGAAAGGUGAUGAACAAGCCAAGUAAUCAAUUUCUAAGUGUACCUUUGCCUAAAAGUGAUGCAACUUCUACUAGUGUAUGAAACCACAAAUAAGUGAUGAAACUUCAACUAGUGUAUGAAACCACAAAUAAAUAUGUACUGUUUCAGGAAUAAAACUACUUUUUAAUUUUGUUUCAAUUCUCAUGUAAACAUGCACUAGCUAGAAGUUCAACACACUAAUUUUUAAAAUAAAAAUACUUUUGAAUUCCGCUAAAAUUGAUUAAAAUAUCUUAAUGCAACGCCUAACAUAAUCUAAUAUAUUAGUAGAUUAAUAUAAUAAUAUUUCUCAUAUAUACUAUUAAUUUCUAUAUAAGAUACAUUGUACUUGAUAUUCGAACAUAAUUUCUUAAAAAAUAAUAUAUACAUCAAUCCACAAAAAAUAAUAUCCAUUAACUCUGAAUACUUCACGUAAAAUCAAAUUAUACAAACAUAUACAUGAGGUUGAAUUAAUUUAAAAAUACCUAAAGAAUACAUAUGAAAUUAUCCUAAUAAUAUUCAUGCACUAUAAAUUAUAUUUGAUUCACAUAUGAAUUUUUAACCUCUUCUUGUAAAAAGACUUAUAUUAGGUGUAUCUCAUCAGAAUUUCGAAUGUGACUCGUUAAAAAUAUUACUAGUAAAAAUAAAUAUUGAUUUCUUAUUUUAGGCUUUCAUUGUAAAAAGUGGUAUAAUACAAAAAUCUCCUUCAACUUCUCACCAUUUUAGUCUUAUUUAUAUGAUUAGAUCAUUAGUAAAACAUAAGAUAUACUAUUUAAAUAAAUCAACGCGUUACUUUGAGCUUUUUAACAUAUUAUUUACUAAACUUCACAUUUUUAACAAAUUAGAUUGUUUGUUUUUUUUUAUCAACAAGCAGAAAAUGAAUAAAUAUGAACCACUUCAAGAGUGGUCCAAUCCUUAUACAUGAUUGCUAAAAACCAUGAUGUCACGUCUUUCCAAGUUAUCUUUAGUUGCAACUGAAUUUAGUAGCACCCUCCAAGCAAUAAACUGGGUUGAAGGCAAAACAAAAGUCUUCCACAGAGGAACAAACAGACUAUCUCCCUCGAAAGGACCUCUUAAAGUUUCAUAGGCAGACUUUACUGAAAACCCAUUAUCCUUACCAACCUUCCAAACCCAGUUAUCUUCAUAAUUCAAGACAAGGACCUUUCCAUGCAUCUCUUGUAAUAGUUGAAGUUCCUUAUUUUUCUCCCAAUCAAACAGAACUCUUCUCCAGACAAACUUUGAAUCCCAUAUACCAUUAAACCACUCCUCACUAGACUCUAAAUUACCUUAUUUAUUACAACACAAAGAAAACAGUCUUGAAAAUUUACUCUUCAAAUCUUCAUUGUCCACCCACACAUCUUUCCAGAACAAGACUUCCUUCCCGUUUCCCACUCCCCACUCCCCACUCGAAACAGUCCUCAAAGUUCCUACCCCAUUCCUUCAUCCCCCAAACUCCCUUCAAAUCUCUCCACCAGUUGGAAUCCUUAGCAUUGACACUUUGCUCUUGCAAGCUUCUCCAACCUUCAUAUUUAGACUCGAGAAUCUCCUUCCAGAGACCACCCUUAUCAAAACCCAGACAUUAAAUCCAUUUUCUCAUCAAAGUCACAAUGAAAAGCCUUAAUUUCAAAAUACCAAGACCGCCAGCUUCUCGAGGCUCGCAAGCCUUUUUCCAAGAAACCCACACAAUCUUCCUUCCUUCUGAACCCCAACCCCACAAAAACCUUCUUUGAAUUUUCUCAAUCUCCUUCAACACAACAAGAGGCAACUUAUUCAUAGAUAUAUAGAACAACGGGAGAGAAGAAAUAACUGACUUAAUCAGACAAACCCUCUCAACCAAUGAAGAGUUACUUUGACAAAAUCUGUCAUCUCUGUUGUCCCUUUAUAUUUCCUGACUCUUUUCAAAAUGCCCACAACAGUUGAGAAAUUAAUCACAAGAUUACAAAGAGAUUUUUUUAUAGGGAUGGGGUAUCUUUUGCUGGAAGAGUUACUUUGACAAAAUUUGUCGUCUUUGUGGUCCCUUUAUAUUACCUGUCUCUUUUUAAAAUGCCCAUAGCAGUUGGGAAAUUAAUCACGGGACUACAAAGAGAUUUUUUUAUGGGAUAGAGAAGUGAUAGAAGGAAAAUAGCUUGGGCGAAAUGAGAAUUCCUAUGUCAAUUCAAAUCAGAUGGAAGAUUAGGAAUUAAGGAUGUAAACUUUUUUAAUAUGGCUCUUAUUGGGAAAUGAAAAUGGAGACUUGGUUGUGAAAAGUCAAGACUUUGGAAAUAGGUAUUGGAAUCUAAAUAUGGUUCUUGGAGAGGGUUGGAUGUUAGUGUUGUGUCAAAUACUGAAUCUUGGUGGUGGAGAGAUAUCAAGAAGGUGUGUGGAGGAAACUCAAAUUCAUUAUUUGAUAAUUAGAGAAGGUGGAAGGUAGGUGUAGGGAGUACGUAAUAUUCUAUUUUGGACAGAUUGUUGGGCAGGGAACAAUAAUCUUAAAAAUAUAUAUCCUAGAUUUUUUUUUCAAAUUCAGUACUUAAAAAGGGUUUUGUAGAUAAAUAUGGGGUAUGACAUGAGAACUAGUGGGUAUGGCAAAUAGAAUGGAGAAGAGAGUGAUUUUUAUGAGAAAUUGAAAUUAUAAAUGCCUUUAUGGAUGAAUUGAAGGUUGUUAAAAUAGAUGCUUGUUUAAAUGAUGAGUAGAUGUGGCUAGGUGAUAUCUCAAAUUCUUUUGCACCAAAAUAUAUUGCAGCCACAUCUAUUUUCUGCAUUUAACUUUGAUUCUUUCGAGAGUUUAAAAGCUCUUCCAUCAACACAAUAUUUUUUCUGACGUGUUUUAACUGGUAAAAUUGCAACCUAUGAUAAUUUAAUACAUAGAGGAAUUCAGGUUGGAGGGAGAUGUAUGUCAUGUGUGGGUCUGAGCUUGAACAGUAAAUCAUCUUUUCUUCACAUGUAAAGUGACUUCUAAAGUGUUGUAUAUGUAUGAUGUUUGGGCUGGUAGAGUCUUUGUACAUUUUGAACAAAUAGGUUUUACAGAUCUAAACUACUUGGGAAAUUAUGUCUGGAGAUGUAUGUGGAUUGCCAUUAUGUAGGGAAUUUGGAAUCAUAGGAAUAGGAUAAUUUUAAUAAUGCAGUGGUGGAUCCUGUUGAAAUUUUUGCUAAGGCCAAAGUAAAGGCAUGGGCAUGGGUAACCUAUAAAUUCCCAAAGUCAAUUUUUUCUUAUUCUGAUAGGUGUAUUAAUGUAUAUGAAUGUUUAAAAUCACUACAUUGAUCGUUAACGUCUUUUCUAUACUUUUUGGUUGGUUUUUGUUUUGGAUGAGAGCACAUCCCUUUGGGUACAACUAUAGCCACAACUGAUGCGUGGGAAGCUGUAGUAGAUAGCAAGGAAGAAUUUUUUUUCCUUAGAGUUGCCAUGUUUUAUAUCUUGGAAUUGAGCUAAGUUGUUGUGUAUUUUUUAUAGAUGUAGUAUGAUGUAUAUGUGUUGGGUUUUUGUUAGAGGUUUAAGCUUACCAACUUUAUAUGUGCAGAAUAUGGCUAAACUUUGGCCAUUUUACUCUGACAACCUCACUUCUCUAGCUUUGAGGAAUUUUGUACAUGGGGGUUGGAGUACCCCUAGAACUCACAUUUUUUUUUUAUAUAUUUUUACUGCUGAUAAUAAUAUAAAUAAUAAUAAUAAUAAUAGGUUUAAUAAAAAUAAUAUUAAAUAAUCAAUAACAACAUAUAAAGGUGAUUCUUUUUUUUUGUGUACACAUUUUGUUUUUCAAUUUUAUUCUUUAAAAUAUUUCAUUUUCCAAUUGAAAAUUUGAAUUUUAAAUUUUUUUGAAAAUUUUGAAUUUUGAAAAAAAAAAUAAAGAAUACAAUUUCUUAUAAUUUUAUCCAUUAAAUAACUAUUUUUUUUAAAAUUCAAAUAAUUUUUCUCAAUAAAAAACAACCUACACAAUAAAAAAUUAAAUACAAAAUAUCAAAAUUUAUUAUUUUUAUAAUAAUUUUUAAUAAAAAUAUUUAUAAUUUAAUAAUAUAUUGAUACCAAUUUAGAAACUAUUUUUUUUAUCAUCAAAAAAUUAAUUAAUUGAAGAAAACACUUCAGGAGUGUUCUAAUCCUAACCAUCUUACUAUUAAACCCAGAAACAUAAAAAUCUUAGACAUAAUUUAGAAACUAUUUAUCAAUAAUACAAAUUAAUUUAGAAAUCAAUAAGUUUUUUUAGUUUUAAAAUAGGGUUUAAUCAAUAUAUAAAAAUUAAUUAUUUUUUCUUUGUAAAAUUAGUUUUUAUUUAAUGAUUUUGUAAUAGUGAUUUAAAUAGUAUUUUUUUAAAAUAAAAUAUUUUAUUUAUUUAAUAAAAUAAAUAAUUGAAUAAUUAUUUUUAUUAUAAAAUAAUUAAAUAUCCUCUUUUUAGAAAUAACUGUUAUAUAUAUAUAUAUAAUAUUUUUUACCUUUUAAUAUAUAUAAUUUAUCUUUUUAAAAAAAAAAUACUCAAUUGUUGUUAUAAUUUAAUAAAUAAAUUUAUUAAGAAAAAUUUUACUCCUUAUUAAAAAUUGUAGGUAAAAUUACAAACGAUCUUAUCAAUGGAUUUUUGAACAUUUCUUUUCCGUUAGUAAUUUCAAUUACGCUAUGAUAAUCAUGUGCUAGGAAGAAGAUUCAUAGCUAUAGUUGGGCAUCACAUUGUGUGUUGUGAUUGACGUGUAUACAGUGUAAUCUGAGUGACAAGGUUGCAUGGUGGGAAGAGUUGACGGUUUUCAAAAGUACACGCCAAAAUAUGGCGUGGCGUUGCUGUGGUGACUUUAAUGUUGUCAGGAGUGUAGAAGAAAGGAAAGGAGUUAGAGGAAGUGCUAACCAAAAGAAGGAGAUCAGUGGCUUCAAUAAUUUCAGUGAUAAGAAUCUGUUGGUGGAUUUACCUAUUGUAGGUAAGAAGUAUACAUGGUACAAAGUAAAUGGUUCAGCUAAAAGUAGGUUGAAUAAUGCACUUGUCUUUGAAGAGUGGCUUCAAAUGUGGCCAACGACCAAACAAUACGUACAACCGAGGGAGGUAUCAGACCUUUUUGCGUUAGUACUGAAAUCUUAAGUCAAAGAUUGGGACUAAAACCUUUCAAAUAUAUAGAUGCAUGGCUAUUGAAACUUGGGUUCAAGGAGUUGGUGAAGGGUAAGUGCAGGGCAAUAGUACCUCCAAAUUGAAAGACAAAUUGAAGCUCCUAAAGGGUGACCUCAAAGGGUCGAACUGGAGUAUGUUCGAGAACUUGGAUGUGAAUAAGAAGAGGAUUAUGAAGGAAAUCGAAUGUAUAGACGUCAAGGAUGCCAACAAUGAUCUUGAGGAGAGUGACAAACUGAGAAGAUUUGAGUUGUUAGUCAGCAGAGGUUGUUAGAUAAAAAACUUGAAUCCCUUUUCAAGCAAAAAGUCAGAGCAAACUGGUUUAAGCAUGGGGACUCUAACUCCAAAUACUACCACUCUGUAAUUCAGUGGAGAAGGUUUAGAAAUGAAGUCAAAGGUGUUGAGGUAGAUAACCAAUGGUGUGAGGAAUCGAAAGUUCUCCGCGGGGAAGCAAAAAGAGUGUUUGAACAAAGGUUCAUGACUACAUCCGAUGUUGGUGUUAGUCUUUGUUUCGUUUAGUUCAAGUCUCUCCCUGGGGAGGUUAGUUUAAGAUUGGUAGCUGACUUUAUUGAGGAUGAAGUGAAAGAAGUAGUGUGGCAGUGUGAGGGAUCAAAGAGCCCGAGCCCGAACAGGUUUAACUUUAAUUUUAUCAAGAGUGAUUGGGAUACCUUCAAGAAGGAUAUUGUGGAAGUUGUCCAUUUUUUUUUCAAAAAUCGGGGUGCAUUCUGAAGGGGUGUAAUGCCUCAUUUAUUGCAUUAGUUCCAAAAGUGAAAGAUCCCAAUACACUUGACCAAUUCAGGCCCAUAUCUUUAGUGGGAGCUAUAUAUAAGAUCAUUACUAAGGUCUGAUCGUGUCAUAUUAAGGAAGUACUCCCUUUGGUUAUUGAUGAAAAUCAAUCAGCCUUCUUGAAGGAUAGAAUAAUGUUACACAGUGUUCUUAUGGCCAACGAGGUGGUUGAGAAGGUAAGGAGAAGUCCGAGGAGUGGGUUGUGUUUGAAGGUGGAUUAUGAAAAAACCUAUGACUCAGUUAGGUGGAAAUUCUUGUUGGAUAUGUUACAGAGGUUGGGGUUCCAUAACAAAUGGAUAAAGUGGGUCAAAAGAUGUCUGGAGUCGGCCUCAGUGUUAGUUUCGGUUAAUGGUAGCCCUACGGAGGAAUUUAAACCAUCUAGGGGGUUGAGGCAGGGAGACCCCUUGGCACCGUUUUUGUUCCUUGUUGUAGGUGAAGGCUUGGCUAGAUUAGUAAGAAAGCUGUAAAGGAGAAUGUGCUUAAAGGAGUGAAGGUGGGGAGGACUGAGACUGAAUGUUGCAUGUUACAAUUCGCUAAUGACACAUUGUUUCUGUGUGAAGAUUCCUACUCCAACAUUUUCACAAUUAAGGUGAUUUUAAGGUGUUACGAGCUAGCUUCAGGUCUUAAAAUCAACUUCCACAAAUUGAAGUUGGCAGGUAUUAGAGUGGAGAGGAAUUCUCUUGAGACUUAUGCAAAAACUCUUAAUUGUAAUGUUAUGCAAAUUCCAUUUAAAUACCUGGGGUUAGAACUAGGAGGGAACCCAAGGAGAAAACAGUUUUGGGAGCCAAUUGUUGAUAAAAUUAAAGCUAGACUUAGCACAUGGAAGGGAAGAUGUUUGUCGUUAGCAGGUAGAGUAUGCUUAAUAAAAUCGGUCUUUACUGCCAUACCCCUUUUCUACCUGUCGUUCUUUAAAGCUCUGACAUUGAUAUGUAAAAAAAUCUCUAGCAUCCAAAGGAGAUUCCUCUAGGAUUGGGAAAGUGAUCACAAAAGUAUUUCUUGGGUUAGAUGGAAGAAUGUAUGUAAGCCCAUGGAAGAAGGAGGAUUGAGGAUCAAAGAUAUAAGAAAAUUCAAUAAUGCUCUUUUGGCAAAAUGGAAAUGGAGGUUGUUGAGCGAGGAAAAAGGAAAAUGGAAAGACAUUCUUGAAUCUAAAUAUUACUCUGGAACAAGAAGAAAUCAAACUUAUACAAACUACCAAUCCUGGUAGUGUUAAGAUUUACCUAACAUAUGUGGUGAGGGAGAAGGAGAUGGAUGGUUCCAAGAUAACAUAGCUUGGAAAGUUGACUCUAGGGAUAAAGUAAGAUUUUGGGAGGAUGCUUGGGUUGACAAUUGUAGGGAUAUUGUGAAGGAUACCAAAAUUUUUAGGUGGAAAACCCCUUUAAAUAGAGGUAAAAAACCACCGGCGAGAGAGUCAAAACUUCCACUAUAAUGGUACUGGGAGUACAAUGAAUUCCUCUCAAACAAAUUCUCUCUAUAUGGGUUAAACACUUACACCCAAGAGCAGAAAUAGAGAGUAUAGGAAAAUGAGAGAGGAAGCAAGUGUGUGUUGCUAUUUGUUGUGUGUUACAUUGCUUGAAGGAAGCCACUAUAUAGAGUGGUUCUAGGAGACAACAAUAAUAAAUACAAUUAAUGGUAAUUAACCUCCCUUUGAUUGCAAUUGAUUGUGGCAAUUAACCUCCCAUUGAUUGCAAUUGAUUGUGGCAAGUAACCUCCCAAUUAUGACAAGAAAACGAAAGGUGAGUCAUAACCCACAAAUCUCCACCUUGACUUGCCUUUGACUGGAACACUCUCUCGCCAUGAAGCCUUGAUUAAGUAUGGAUAAUACCAGCUAAGUUCAGGCAAUGAUCGAACUUAGCCGAUGGAAGUGGCUUGGUCAACAUGUCUGCAGGNNNNNNNNNNNNNNNNNNNNNNNNNNNNNNNNNNNNNNNNNNNNNNNNNNNNNNNNNNNNNNNNNNNNNNNNNNNNNNNNNNNNNNNNNNNNNNNNNNNNUUUCAAUGUGCUUGGUCCUUGAGUGAUACUUACUGUUCCUGGUUAAGUGGACAACACUCUGACUAUCACAAAAUAUAACAAGAACAUCUUGUUGAAGACCAAGUUCACUUACCAAGCCUCGAAGCCAUAUAGCCUCUUUCAUACCUUCUGUAGCAACAAUAUAUUCUGCUUCAGUGGUGGACAAAACCGCAAUGGCUUUAAGUGAAGAAUACUAACUGAUAGCAGACCCACAUAGGGUAAAAAGAUAGGCUGAAAGUGACCUUCUCCGAUCUAAAUCACCACCAUAGUCAACAUCAACAUAGCCAACUACUCCUCUAGGAUCGGCUCUAUGUUGAUCAAAUACCAAACCAAGAUCUGGAGAACCUUUCAGAUAANNNNNNNNNNNNNNNNNNNNNNNNNNNNNNNNNNNNNNNNNNNNNNNNNNNNNNNNNNNNNNNNNNNNNNNNNNNNNNNNNNNNNNNNNNNNNNNNNNNNUUCCCAGUGUGCCUUGCUUGGAUUAUGCAUGAACCUGCUAACAAUGCUAACAGCAUAAGCUAAAUCAGGUCUAGUACAUACCAUAGCAUACAUGAGACUUCCAAUUGCAUUUGAAUACAGGACAUGUGACAUGCGCCUUUUGUCCUCGUCUGAUUUUGGACACUGAUCUGAUGACAACUUGAAGUGGGCGGCAAUUGGAGUAUUAACAACUUUGCAAUCUCGCAUUCCAAAUUUGUUAAGCAUCUUAAGAACAUACUUAUUUUGUGAUAGAAAAAGUUUUCCAACUUGACGAUCUUUGUUGAUCUCCAUUCCUAAAAUUUUCUUAACAGGACCUAAGUCCUUCAUAUCAAAUUCACUACUAAGCUGAGCCUUUAACUUGUUAACUAAAAAUUUAUCUCUUGCAGCAAUCAACAUGUCAUUAACAUAUAACAACAAGUAUAUAAAUGACCCAUCAUAUGUCUUUUGAAAAUAGACACAAUUAUCAUAGCUACUUCUGGAGUAGCCAUGUCCAACCAUGAAAGAAUCAAACCUCUUAUACCAUUGUCUUGGUGAUUGCUUCAAGCCGUAGAGAGAUUUCUUCAAACGACAUACAUGGUCCUCCUUUCCAGGAAUAACGAAGCCCUCAGGCUGCUGGAUGUAAAUCUCUUCCUCAAGAUUACCAUGAAGAAAAGCAGUUUUCACAUCUAACUGUUCCAGCUCCAAAUCAUACAAGGCAACUAAAGCAAGUAAUAUACGUAUUGAAGUAUGACGAACAACAGGAGAAAAUACUUCAUUAAAGUCAAUAUCUUUCUCUUGAUCAAAACCUCUUACAACAAAUCUUGCUUUAUUCCUUGUACUCUCAACACCAGGGAUCCCUUCUUUUCUCUUAAGAUCCACUUGCAACUAAUGACUCGUUUUCCUUCUGGUAACUUCACCAAUUCCCAUGUUUUUUUUUAGAAGACUCUCAACUUCUUCUUGCAUAGCAGCAAUCCACUUUGUUGAGUCAUCACCAGAGAUAGCUUCAGAGUAAUUAUUGGGUUCACCUUCUUCACCCAUCUCUUGUGCAAUAGUUAAAGCAUAAGCAAUGUUGGCAGAUUCUGCAAUUAAUCUUUGAGUCGGUUUUCUUGGUCUCUGUUGUGGAAGUUCUUGAGCCAUAGACCACAGUUGUGGUAACCCUCGUCGUUGAGGUGGACAUUGCUCAUGUGGAGUCACAUGUUCAUUUGUACCAUUAAUAAGAGUGACUUGAUCACCUUGAGUACUGGAGGAAUUAGGAACGUCUUCCUCAUGAGUGGGUGUUUUAAUCUCAAACUCCACCUUCUCUCGAGCAUCUUCCUGGUCACCUGUAUCAAUUGAGGAAAUGACAAUAUCUUUUACAGAAGAGAGCAUAGCAUUUUCAUUAAAGGUCACAUUCCGACUGUGAAUUACUUUGUGAGAUUCUGGGUCAUAUAAACGAUAACCUUUAACCCCUAAGCCAUAACCCAAGAAAAUGCACUUCUUAGCACGAGGUUCUAAUUUUCCCUCGUUUACAUGAGAAUAAGUAGGGCAACAAAAUAUUUUAAGAUUAGAAUAAUCAACAAGGUUACCUGACCAAACUUCUUCUGGAAUGUUGCAAUCAAUUGAUCUGUUAGGAGAGCGGUUUAUCAGAUAACUUGUCGUUGAAGCCGCUUCAGCCCAAAAAGAUUUGCUCAAACCAGAAUGGGAGAACAUGCAACGAACUCUCUCCAGGAUAGUUCUAUUCAUUCUUUCUGCAACCCCGUUUUGAUGUGGAGUCUUUGGGAUGGUGAAGUGUCUGGAAAUGCCUUCCUUCUUGCUGAAAUCAUUGAAUUCAUUCGAACAGAACUCAAGGCCAUUGUCUGUCCUUAGCCUCUUUAUCUUCUUGCCAGUUUGAUUCUCAAUCAAUAAUUUCCACUCUUUAAAAGUGGAAAAUGCUUCAUUCUUAUGUUUGAGAAAAUACACCCACAGUUUUCAUGAGAAAUCAACAAUAAUUGUCAUCAUAUAACGACAUUUACCUCUGGAGGGAACUUUUGACGGACCCCAAAGAUCUGAAUGAAUAUAAUCCAAAGUACCUUUGGUUCUGUGUAUGGCUUUAGAAAAACUAACCUUUUUCUGCUUACCAAAAAUGAAAUGUUCACAGAAAUCAACCUUUCCAGUACAGUGGUUACCAAGGUGACCCUUCUUCUUGAGGAUUAGAAUUCCCUUCUCACUCAUGUGGCCUAAUCUCAUAUGCCACAACUUGGUGUUAUCUUUAUUGGGUGAGGCAACAACUGCAGAACCUGUAACUGUUGAACCCUGCAGCACAUACAAACUAUCACAUUGAAUUGCCUUUAGUAACACAAGAGCUCCUUUAGACACUUNNNNNNNNNNNNNNNNNNNNNNNNNNNNNNNNNNNNNNNNNNNNNNNNNNNNNNNNNNNNNNNNNNNNNNNNNNNNNNNNNNNNNNNNNNNNNNNNNNNNNNNNNNNNNNNNNNNNNNNNNNNNNNNNNNNNNNNNNNNNNUUCCUUCACCAACAACUUUGCAUUGAGCAUCAUUUCCCAUCAAAACAAGACCAUCAUAAACUGGUUCAUAUGUGGUAAACCAAUCUCUAUUGUGAGACAUGUGAAAAGUACAACCAGAAUCAAGAAUCCAUUCAUUUUUAGACCUUUGUUCAGUGUUGGAAGCUACAAAACAAUCCCCAUCAGAUUCAGUUUCAACAAUACUAGCUUCGGCAAAUUUUUCUGGUUGUUUACCAUUUCCCUUAUCUUCUUUAUCUUGCAUAUUUUUCAAUUUAUAACAUUCAAGGAUCUCAUGUCCCUUUUUCUUGCAAUAACGACAAUAUUUGGAGUUCUUGCCUCUAGAUUUUGACCUAGAUUUAUGUUUAGUGUUCCUACCUUUCUCUUGGUUUCUUCCUCUAACUACUAAUCCUUCACCAGAACUUUCAGAAUGAAUUUGAGUAUCAAAUUUUUCUUUGACUAGUAAAUUAGUCUUGACAUCAUCAAAGCUUAAGGUAAGAUAAUUACCGUAUAACAUAAUUUCUUUUGAAUUGUCGAUGCGAGGGUGGUAGAGAAACAAUAAGUAGAAUGGCUUUAUCCUCAUCAUCAAUUUUAACAUCCAAAUUUUCCAAAUCAAUUAUGAUGGAAUUAAAUUCAUCAAGGUGAGAUUGGAUGGGAGUACCUUCGGACAUUCAGAGUGUAAGGAGUCGCUCCUUUAACCGGAGUUUGUUUGCAAGACUUUUGGUCAUGUAUAGAGACUCCAAUUUACUCCAUAUGCGUGCUGUAGUUUUCUCGUUGAUGACCUCACGCAACACCUCAUGGGACAAGCAUAACUGGAUUGCAGACAAUGCCUUUUCAUCCAUCUCAUUCCACUGCUCCUCCGUUAUAGUGGUUGGUCUCAUCAUUUUACCUGUCAAAACAUUCUUUAAACCAUUCUGGGUGAGAACAGUUAGCAUCUGGACUCGCUAGAUAGCAAAGCUGAUUUUACCAUCAAAUUUCUCAAUAUCCAAUUUUGACAUUAUUGAACAACAGAUCCUGGUUGAAUUAUCGAAAAAUUUUGAUGCCAAUUUGUAGGGAUAUUGUGUGCGGAAGGGUAAUAAUUUCAACCAAAGAUUAUGAGAAAUUAAAGUAAGAAGUAAAGUGAGAAUAAUACCAGAAUUUUUAGGUGGAAAACCCCUUUAAAUAGAGGUAAAAAACCACCGGCGAGAGAGUCAAAACUUCCACUAUAAUGGUACUGGGAGUACAAUGAAUUCCUCCCAAACAAAUUCUCUCUAUAUGGGUUAAACACUUACACCCAAGAGCAGAAAUAGAGAGUAUAGGAAAAAGAGAGAGGAAGCAAGUGUGUGUUGCUAUUUGUUGUGUGUUACAUUGCUUGAAGGAAGCCACUAAAUAUAGUGGUUCUAGGAGACAACAAUAAUAAAUACAAUUAAUGGUAAUUAACUUCCCUUUGAUUGCAAUUGAUUGUGGCAAUUAACCUCCCAUUGAUUGCAAUUGAUGGUGACAAAUAACCUCCCAAUUAUGACAAGAAAACGGAAAGGUGAGUCAUAACCCACAACAACAACAAACUUAUAUCCUUGUAUCAUGGGUUAUAUUUCUUGUCCCUAGAUCACGGUGAGUGAGGUAUGUUCUUGGGGGGAUUCAGGAUGGCUUUGGCAGUUAAGGUGGAGAAGUGUAAGGUAUGAUGGGGAAUCCAUUAUGGAGGAAGAAAUGCUUAAUUUUAUUACUAUAGGAGGUAUGCAUAAGGAAAUCAAAGAUCAUAUGGUAUGGAAAUGGGAUACCAUAGGAAUCUUCUCUGUGAAAUCUGCCUAUAUGAGUUUCAACAAUCAAUCCAUUGGUUACUCGAAUGACGUGUUUACCCUUUAAUGGCAAGCAAAAGCGAUGUCUAAAGCUUUAAUUACCGUGUGGAGGAUUCUGCUUGACAGAUUGCCAACCAGUAAUAACCUCGUCAUGAGGGGUGUGAGUGUUAUCUCUUCAGUAUGUGUGCUUUGUAAAGAGGCGGAAGAAUCAUCCCAACAUUUGUUUCUUGAAUGUGCAUAUGUACAACAAGUUUAGUCUCUUUGUUUUAGAUGGAUUGACAUUCUGUUUGUCGAACACAAGGACCUAAAAUAUCACUUUGAGCAUUUUCACUUAGUACAUAUGUCCAUCAAACAAAAUUAGGUAUGGAAGGAAAUGUGAGUAGCCAUUAUUCAGUGUAUUUGGAAACACAGGUAUCUUCCUUUAAUUUCUCUUUCUCGGAUUGGCUUUUGAACUCUGGCCUAUGCUUUCAAAGUUGCUGAAGUAGAGGUUGAGGUUCGUUUUAGCUACUGUAUGGUCAGAUAAUGUGUGGGUAGUUUCUUCGAAAAUGCAGGGGCUGACGUGGAGAAAAUGAUGAAGUAUCAUAGGAAAAGGGUGUCAACUUGAUGGUGUAUCUGGAGGGGAGGUUCGCUGGAGUAGCAGACUUUUGUUUACAGAAUCAAACCUUUACAAUGGUGUUCAGUCUUAAGGAAUGGAGAGGGAAGAUGAUUCUGGAGUGGUUGAUCUUUAAAGGAAUCCUUGGUGCUGAAUGCGUGGGUUUUAUUGCCGCAGCUAAUCAGGUUUGGGAUUUGCAACCUCAUUCGGUUCUGAGUGAUGAGGCUAGGUGCUUAUAUCUUGGUAGCUGCUGCGUGUGCCUGUUUUUUCCUCUAGCUGCUGCCUUGUAGAGAGUCUAGAGGUGUGAUAUCUGUGACAGGUGGAAGUGUAAUUAUGCAGCUCUGUUAUGUACCAGUUUGGUGUUGUAGUGCUUGGUAUGGAGGAGUUGGUCUAGCAUAGUGCUUCUUGAUGGGUUAAGAAACCGUGUAGGAGGUUGACUAGUGUUGUGUGGUGUUUCUAGUUAAGUUGGAGUGAGACAUGGUGUGUUGCUGAUAGGAAAGGAAGUGCAGCCUAGAAGUCUGCUUUGGUCCUAUGAUCUUGUUUUUUCUGGUUACAUUAUCAAAGCAUUUGGUAUCAUUUAUUUGUUUGAAGCCACAACAUUUAUGCUGAAGCGACCUUUUUGUAAGACAAGUGUUGUGAAUGGAAAAAAAUUAACUGUGACAAAGCGAACCUCCUUUAUAGAAGAAUCCGAAAAAGUAUAAAAAAAAGCAACACCAUUAUUGAAAUCAUUGAAUAAAACAAAGAACAAGAGAAUUAGAUUCCACCCAAAUUAAGUGUAAGGUUUACAUUUCCCUUGAUGUGAGUGAGCAAAGAAUCUUUAGUUUGUGUAUUUAUACAAAGCCUUAGAAACCCAAUAAUAAUGCAGUGGAGAAGCAUUUGAUUAUUAGUUCAGGUGAAGUGGUCAAACAGAGAUAUAAUAUAAUAUUUUGUCUUUAGGUUCAUCAGAUCCUAGUAAUAAUAAUCCAUUUACAUCAUUGAGUUGCAGUUGCAGAUAUAUAUGCAUGUUUCCACCUAUUUCUUCAUAGAUUUUCAGUUUUCAUUCCAGUUCUGUUCAUUAACCAUUUCAUUACAUUUUUUGUUAUGUAUAUGGUUUUAACUGCCAUGCAUGCAUCUAUACUCAUAAGAUGCAUAUAAGUUUAUAUAUAUGGCAUGAUAUGUGAUGCAUGAUGCAUCUUAUAACCUCUUGGUUUGUUGGAGUAAACUUGUUGAUGUCUUUUAGGUUUUCUCAAAUAUAUAGCUCUCUAACCCUAUAUAUAUAUUUAUGCAGGUUUUUCACUUUUGGCUCCUUUCCCACUCUCCAAUAAUGGAAGACUCUCCAGUAAUAGAAGAAUGGUUCCCCGUAACGUUCAAAGCCACUGAACCCAAUUGGAUCCAAACGGAACCCAAAUGGAACCAAAGCUUAGCAAAUAAACGCAUGGAAGUGAAGAAGUCGCAUACAGAGAUAUACGAACCUGACCAAACCAAAAUUAAAGGGAAAGAAGAAAAGAAGAAAGGGAAUGUUUUUUCAACUUUUUUCUGAAAGGAGAUGAACAAGCCAAGUAAUCAAUUUGCCUAAAAGUGAUGAAACUUCUAGUGUAUGAAACCACAAAUAAAUAUGUACUGUUUCAGGAAUAAAACUACUUUCAAUUCUAACAUAAAUAUGCACUAGCUCGAAGUUCAACACACUAAUUUUUAAAAUAAAAAUACUUUUGAAUUUAGCUAAUCUCUUCGACUUAUUAAUGUUGGGAGCAAUCUAUAAGAGGUUGGAAGCAAUCUAUAAGAGGUAGGACUCGAACUCAAAUCCUUUUGGAGAUCAAGAAAACAUUAAUCACUAGAUCAGGCAAAAUCUUUAGUCAUAUUAUAUUUUUAUCAUACUUAUUAUUAAUAAUAUAAUUUAUACAUAUUAUUAUUAUUAAUAAUAAUUAUAUUAAUAAUAAUAAUAUAAAUUAUAUUCAUAUUAUUAAUAAUAAGUAUAAUAAAAAUCAUAAAAUACUAAAGAAUUUGUUUGGGGUAGUGGUUAAAUUUUCUUUGGUCCCUACAUACGAAUUAUAUUCGUAUGUAAUACCUGUUUACAUACGGAAUAGAAUCUUGUACCGCCCUGGUGGUCGGGUGUGAUGACGUGGCAUCCUCCUACAGUAUAAGCGUGUUGACAAGGCGCCAGGCUGGCAGAAGGGAAGGAAGUCGGGGGGCACGUGUGGUCGCCGGUUGUUAAGUUGGCGUGUUCCGAUUUCCAGAUUACCAGAAUAGGCGAUCGCCAGUUGAAGAUGAAGUCGCCCGAUGUAGAUUCAGGCGACCUAGUCAUUGGAGAUCGCCAGAGAAAGCACAUCGCCGGAGAUGAAGGAGAAGCAGAUUGUGAAGGCGGCCGGCGAGACCACAGGGAAGGUGUAUGGAGGCCCUAAACUCGCCAGUUCCAGCAGAGAUCGCACUCCCAAGUUAGCUAUGCACUGGGCAGUACCAUGCAUAAGUAACUUAGCCAAAAUGAGAGUAGAAGCAGCGCCAAGUCAAGGAGCCUCCAGAUGAUGGCACGUGUACAGUUGGAUGCGAGCCACGUGUCCAAGUCUGUAACUGCCAGGAGAGAGAAAGCCACCAGGUAUAUAAGAGUUCUUAACAAACUUUCUAAGGUACGCACGUUCAGUUCAUACACUUUACGCUUGCGAGUGAUAGAGCUGAUUGUGAGAGAGGAUUUGCACGGUUCUUGUUCUUAGUAUUUGGUGAUACCGUCACUGACUUGAGCGUCGGAGUGCGAUCGGCCGCAGCGGCGCCGUGUUGUUUCUUUGCAGGUUCUUGAAGUAGAUCCCGGAAAGGAACGGAGGAGAGAAGCGGUGCGCACGUCGAUCCUUUGACGAGGCAUUCUCCAGCGUUCCGGUCAAUAGGAAGGAACUGUUUGGGGUAGUGGUUAAAUUUUCUUUGGUCCCUACAUACGGAUUAUAUUCGUAUGUAAUACCUGUUUACAUACGGAAUAGAAUCUGUAUGUAAAAAUCCGUAUGUAAUGUUGAUUUUACAUAGGGAUUUUGAUCCCUAUAUAAUUCGCGUUUUUCUUGUAGUGACAUCUGAGAGAGCCUUUUGCGAAUCAAGUUUUUGUGAGAAUAUUUUUUUUAAAGAUCAUUGAGGUUUCUUGGGGCAAAAUUUUCAUCAUCUUGUGGAGCUAAUUUCACUGCUAUUGUAGAAUUAAGAGCUUCAAUUGUGUUUCUUGUGUUACAAUUCAGAUUAAUUUGUUCAAUUUUUUAAUUAGUUUUGGAGGAUUAAGGCAUUGCCUUCUGCUCAUGUUACUGCUUGAAGGGUGUUGAAAAAUAAGAUUGUCACUAAGGUUAAUUUACUUAGACGUGGGAUUGCGGUCGAAAGCGCUCUUUGUUGUUUUUGUGGUGUAAAAGAUGAAGAGAUUAAUCAUCUGUUUUUUUAUUGUAGAAUAGCAUGGUUGGUGUGGAACCUCUGUUAUGAGUGGUUAAGCAUUUUGUUGGUUGCCCCCUGUUGUUCUUACUCUCAUUUUUUGCAGUUCAGGUUGUGCAAUGCUCUUGAGUUGGUCAAUUUAGGGGAUGGGGAGUAUUUGGAUUGCGGUGGUUAGUGAGAUUUGGAGUCAUAGGAACAAGAAUUUAUUCAAAGAUGGAGAAAGGUGGAGUGUUGGACUACUCUGAGAUCUUUUCUUUAGCUCAAUUGAAUAUUUGGUCUUGGAUUACUUCUAAAUUCUCCACUGCUUGUUUCUCUUAUUCUGAUUGGUGUCUUGUUCCUCUGGAUUGUUUUGUUUCGCUUUAACUUGUUUUGUGAUUUUGGUUUUUAGCAGGGCUAGUUUUGAGUUGUUGGUUGGAAGGUGUGUGUUGUAAGAAUGUCUCAAGUUUUUUGUAUAUGGGUUGGAUCACCCUUAAAGUAUAUAUUGUUUAUUACUGAUAAAAAAAACUGUGUUGUAUUUUUGUAUUGAUUGUUAGCCAAGAUAAGAUUUCUUGGUGGAUAGUUCUGCUGUAACAUUGUAGUGUUUGUUUUACUUUUUGUAGUAUUCAAGAACAGUUUGGUGUAUUUUCUUAUAAUGAAUUUUAUUUUUAGUGAUGAAAAUCACCUUGGUGUGAUGUGAAACUAUAUUAGCUCUCUAUAUGAAUGAACCAACAUAAAAUUCUUGGUGUUUUUUUUGUAUCUGUCAUAUUAGUUGUAAAAUUAUUUUUCUUUGUAUUGUUAUAUUUGAUUGUGCUUGUUUGUUUUGUGUGUAGGAUUUUUUUUUGAAAAAAUUUCAUUAGUUUUCCAGUUUUAACAAGUUUAAAUUUUUUUUAACAUUAUGUAUUGACUAAAAAAUCUAAUGUGUUAAUAUACAACGUAAUCCGUUGAAAUUAAUUUUUGUAAAUUGAUGUUUUAUUAAAUAGAUUUAAAACUUCUAACUGUUAAUCUUCUUUAAACUUUAAUUUGUAGUUUUCUAGAUUCUAUUAAAAAAUUGACAUGACACUGAAUUUGAAUUAAACAAAUUAUUGCUGAAAUAUUUUAAGCCAAUUCACCCUCCUCUUGAACUUAUUUUCUCCCUAUGUCAAAAAUUUCUUCCAAACCUACUAUUAUGCACAAUUCCCCUUCUCAUACUGCUUAUAUUGGUAUACACAAUAUAAUAUCACAUGAUCAUUCCUAUGUUAGUUCCUUAUCUUUUUCUAUAGAUGAUUAUCAUUCUCCUAGUACAAAAUUGAUACAAACGUUCAUCCUAUACUUACUCGUGCCAAAGCUAGAAUCUUCAAACCCCAAGUUUUUCAUACCUCUACUUUAGUUGAUCCUUUUUAGCCUACCAUAUAUAAACAAGCUAUGGUGCAACUUGAGUGGCUCCAAGCUAUGCGAUUUGAAUAUUAAGCUCUUUGUCGCACAUUUAGUUAGAUGCAAAUGGGUUUUCAUGCACAAACUCAAUGGUGAUAAAGCUCUAUUGGUUGUCAAGGGUUUCCAUCAAACUGAAGGUCGUGAUUACAUUAAUAUGUUUACUCCCGUUAUUGAUGACUGUUUUACAGCAAGUGUACCGAGUCAAAAGUAAUUAUUUAUCCCUAAUGACGAAUAUUGAACCCACAAAGAACAAUUAUUUAGAAUUCUAAUCGUAGAAUUCAUUAAGUAUAAGAAUAUAUAUACAAUAAUUUGAUUUGAAAAAUAUUGACAUAAAUUUGAAUGAAAUUAAAUGAAAACAAAAUAAAUGGGUAAAAUAAUUCAAUUAAGAAAAUUUGGAUUGGGGUUAAUCCUUCUCAUUCGUCUGCAUUUUUAAUAAAUAGAAACAUAUAACAUUCCAUCUUAAUUUCUCGCAUACGAAAUUAUUAAGAUUGUCUCUCCUAAAUAUCGAUUCAUUAUAUAUUUAUAAAAAAAAUCUUAUCAUUAAAAAUAAAUUUUAUAAAGCAAUUAACAUUUCAAAUGUAUUUCUAGCAUUCAAAUAUGUUAAGCAUUAUCAUCUAGAUCAGAUACUCAUAAGUACUUUCCAGUCAAAUCUAAGGAUCAAAAUCAUAAAUAAAGAUUCAAGAUUUGAGAAUAAAAUGAUAAUACCAAUAUAAAUCAAGAACAAAAUUUUAUAAAUAAAUAUCAUCUCAAUACAUAAGAGUUUGAACAAAUUACUUUCAAUCCCAAAGAGAAGAACUAGUCACUCAUAUUGGUCAUUAUCAUGGAAAGCAAGAAAAAAAUAUCCAAGGUGUUUCUCCUUGACAACAACCUUCUCUAGGGUUUCCUUCCUUUGGUUUCCCUCCCAGGUCACACCCUUCUCUUUGCCUUACGCCUUUUAUUUAACCUAAUUGAGCUUGGGCUAAGUGAUAUAUCGCUUAAAUGAGAUAUUACUUGCUUGAGCAAGUUUUACGAGAACAAGCUCAACUUUACUGGAGUGAACUCGCUAAAGCGAGCCUUGGACGAGUUCUUUUGGAGUGAUCUUGUUUAAGAAAGUUUUCAAUGCUCAAACUUUAUCUUUUCAUCUUGUCUUUAACUUGUCCAUUCUCCUUCAACCUUUUUCUCUUCAUCUUCCCCUAGAUUCAUAAGCUCACUCACACUCUUCUUGUUAUGGGCUUUCUUCCUUCUAAAAGUGGUUCUUCUCUGGGAAUUUUACCAAAGUGGUGCAGUUUUUUUUUAGAUUUACGUAAAUGGGCAGAUUCAGAAAAUAUUACAAGAAUGGGCAUUUUUUGGUCAAAGUUGCCAAUGGUGUAGGCAACAUAAAUUAAAUUCAUUAAUCCCUCUACUUUUCUUUUUUUAAGUAAAGUUUUCAACCUGAUUGACAACUUUAGUUUAAAUAAAAUUGAAUACUGGAUUGACAACUUUAGUUUAAAUAAAAUUGAAUACUGGAUUGACAACUUUAAUGUAUUUUAUCUCAAAUGAAAUUUCCAAUUUUGUUGGCAAAUUUAGCUGAUUUUUUAAAAUAAUUAAUAUUUUUUUUAAAAUGAAAGAUGUAUAUAAUAAUAAUUUAAAAAUUAUUUAAAUUUACAUGAAGUGAAUAAAAAUAAGAAUAUUGAGAAAAAAUGUAUUUUUAUAGAUAAUUAAUAUUAAAAAAUUAAACUAAAUUUUGUUUUCACAAAAAACAAAGUUACCUAAAUUUAAGUUGGAUUUAAAAUAGGUUGUGUAAUAAAUGUAAAAUAUUUAGUACUUUUUAAAUAUUAUUAAAAUUAAAAAUAUUUUUGUUGUUUUUAAAAAUCUGAAAUUAUGUUUGUGAAAUAACGUUUAUAGUUGAUAAAAUUACAAAUAAAAAGGGUAGCGUUUAAACAAUAUUUAUAAAAUGAUAUUAUACAUGAUUAGAAAAUAGAAAUAUAGGAAAAGUUGUCAUCUAUGAGAAGCUGUGCCACAUGGUGGUCUUCUUCGUUGUCUUCGUGGUCGUCCUUGUGGUUGUUGUUCGGACCGAAGGGUAGGAGGGGNNNNNNNNNNNNNNNNNNNNNNNNNNNNNNNNNNNNNNNNNNNNNNNNNNNNNNNNNNNNNNNNNNNNNNNNNNNNNNNNNNNNNNNNNNNNNNNNNNNNGCCUUCGAUUUCAUUGUCAUCACUCUGAUUUUCGGACACUUGUGAAGACAUUGUUGGUCGAUAAUACUGCAUAGAUGACAUUGGAUUGUAGGCAGAUAGGGGGGUCAUGGUAGAGGUUGCAAAGGGAUUUGACGGGCCAACAAACAAUUGUUGUUGAGAUUGAAAUGUUGAGUAGUUGAAAGGUGGUUGAUGGAAUGAUGAUUGGAAUGACAUGUGAGAUUGAUCCCUAUAUCCGAACAACUGGGUCGGUUGAACACCUGGUGGACGAAAAGAUUGUUGUUCAAAUGAUUGAACUUGAGAAGAAGACCCGACAUGAUGUUGAUAGUGAGGUUGUGUAGUCUCCUGCGGCAUAUCAUACUGUUUUGAAAAUAUGUGUUAAUUUUGGAUGAGUGAAUGAAGAAUAAUAAAUAAUUUUGUAAUUGAACUUACAUCAUCAUCAGACGAUGACUGUAUAGGCGUGAUGUAGCGGAUAGUAUGGUUGAUGUACCAUUGCAUGUAUGUUGAGUUGUCAUGCAAAUGGCCAUUUCCGUUAAACUGAUUUCCGUGAAUUAGAUGAUUACGACGGUCAUUCCACAUAGCUAUCCAUGCGACAUGAUAUUGUGGUUCCUCCUAUGUGCGUCCUAUGCAUCCUCCGAGUCCACCUAACGUAAGCAAAGAAAUAUUAAGAACUUCGUUUUCUUAUCUCGAAAAUUAAUACAAAAAUAACAUACCUUUUACCGAGUGGGAAACCAAAUCCUUAUUGAACUUCUUCAUCGAUCAAUGGUUGAAGUUGUGGAGAAAAGCAUGUUAGGCGUUCCCAUGCCCAACACUGUAAAAGCAGCGUGCAACCUCCAACAUUAUCUUGAUUAAAGUCUAUUCCAUGAUCGAGCGCACGAUACAGAGAAGCCAAUACAGCUGACCCCCAACUGUAAUUCCUUACGUUGUUCAAGUCAGCCAACAAUAAUAGAUACAUUAAAUGUACCUUACUACCUGAAGAAUCAGGCAUCAAUAGACUCCCAAUAAGUGUUAAUAUGUGGGCUCGAGCAUGUUGAGCAAUAACAUCAUCGGUUGCAUUAUGUGGCAGUUCCUGAAAAGUGUUGUUAAGCCAAGACAACUUAAUUGCAUUUCCUUUUAUCGCUGUUGAGGGUGGUAUAAAUUCGAGCAACUGGUCACAUAAAGAUACUAAAUCACCACAAGUAAUCCCGGUGACAACCUGUCCAUCAAUAGGUAAACCCAAUAUUAAUUCCACAUCUUCCAAAGUAACAGUUGUUUCACCGAGAGGAAAGUGAAAGGUAUGAGUCUCUGUUCUCCAUCUUUCCACUAAUGUUGUAAUUAGUACAUGGUUGAAGUCAAUGUGCUUAAAUUUUAACAAAUGUCCAAAACCAGAAUGAUCAAUUAACCGUUUCACUCGUUGGUCAAGUAUAUCCUCAUGCUUUAGUACCCAACUUGCAUGUCUUCUGGGUCUCAAUAGUCUUUCAUUACCUUCCCAUACGUAUUUGGUAACAUGUUUCUCUUGGAGUCGCAAUAUAGACAUAUUCGCGGGAAGACGAUGAGAUGCUAUAAAAUUCUAAUAAAAUGAUUCCUGAAAAUACAACCAAUUUUUAUAAUACCUUUAUAGAUAAUUCCUAUUAAAAUGAUAUUAUCAAUAAACAUUAAUUUUCUUAAAUUAAAGAUAACGAAAAGAUAUUUACACAUACUAAUUAAAGAGUACCGAGUAUAACAUAUUAUAAAAAUAUUGAUUGAAAGUAAUAUAUUAUGUACAAACAAUAAAAAUAUAAGAAAAAUAAAAUAAAAAUAUAUUUUUUAGCAAUUGUUUGUCAAUAUUUAAUAUCAAUUAAUUAUAUUAACUUGCCUUUUUUUUUAUAAGUUAAUAAUAAUUAAAUUUUAUGUUUUAAAGUAUCAUUUUUAAAUUCCUUUAACAGAGUAUAAGUAUUAAGUAUUAAAUAUUGUUUGUAUGGAUAACUAUUAAUCUUUGUUAGCAUGUGCAUGUGCUUGCUACUACAAUUAAAUAAAUAAUUAAAAUAUUAGAGAGAACUUACCUUUGUGAUUGAAUGCCACCCUUAAGCACUCUGGAACAAUGGCAAAGCUUGAGAGUGUUUUGCAUAGGACACAGACUCUAUUAAAUAGAGUUGCUUGUGUGAGUUUCAAAAAAUGAAAGUUUGAAUUCAAACUUCAUUUUCAAAAGAAUCUCUGCCAUGAAAAAAGAAUCUCUGCCAUGAAAACUAUAGCCAUGACAUAAAGCUGGACACAAAAUAAAGUAUUGCUUGGUGGUGCACGAAAUUGCAAACAAAGUUGCCAACCAUGAAGGCAACUUUUAAUAUAAGUUGCCAAUGGUGAANNNNNNNNNNNNNNNNNNNNNNNNNNNNNNNNNNNNNNNNNNNNNNNNNNNNNNNNNNNNNNNNNNNNNNNNNNNNNNNNNNNNNNNNNNNNNNNNNNNNNNNNNNNNNNNNNNNNNNNNNNNNNNNNNNNNNNNNNNNNNNNNNNNNNNNNNNNNNNNNNNNNNNNNNNNNNNNNNNNNNNNNNNNNNNNNNNNNNNNNNNNNNNNNNNNNNNNNNNNNNNNNNNNNNNNNNNNNNNNNNNNNNNNNNNNNNNNNNNNNNNNNNNNNNNNNNNNNNNNNNNNNNNNNNNNNNNNNNNNNNNNNNNNNNNNNNNNNNNNNNNNNNNNNNNNNNNNNNNNNNNNNNNNNNNNNNNNNNNNNNNNNNNNNNNNNNNNNNNNNNNNNNNNNNNNNNNNNNNNNNNNNNNNNNNNNNNNNNNNNNNNNNNNNNNNNNNNNNNNNNNNNNNNNNNNNNNNNNNNNNNNNNNNNNNNNNNNNNNNNNNNNNNNNNNNNNNNNNNNNNNNNNNNNNNNNNNNNNNNNNNNNNNNUAUUCCGUCUGGCAGUCAAUCCGGACAUAACAUCGAUUGCGAACUCAAUGAACACAUGUCUUUCAUAUCAAAGGAGGCGACAUUGAAUGCCAUAAAACGAUACCACAUAGACAACGGUUACAAAUUUGUUGUCGUGGAAUCAAAGCCAGACAGAUAUGUGGCUCGGUGCAUACAUCAUGAUGUAGGGUGCGAAUGAGAUUACGAGCAUCUUUUAGUAAAAUCCGAAGUCAAUGGGAGAUAAAAAAAAUUGAUGCACAACAUACUUGUUUGUCAAAAAAUCUUACGGCAGACCAUGUUAAUUUGGAUUCAACCCAUAUUGCGUCCAUGGUGCUGACUUCAGUCAAAGCAAACCCUUCUGUCCCAAUUAAAAGCUUAAUUGUAGAAAUAAAAAAUCUGCAUGGCUAUACUAUCAUGUAUAGAUGCUUGGUUGGGAAAACAGAAAGCUCUUGCUUUGACAUUUGGCGAUUGGGAACAUUCCUACAAUGAUCUUCCUAGAUGGUUGGAAGCAGUAAAAGAAAGCAAUCCAGGGACAAUUGUGCAGUAUAUUGCUUCUCCUUGUAUGGUUGAUGGUGUUCAAGACAAUUCGUGUUACACGUUGGAUCGGGUGUUUUGGUCUUUCAAGCCUUGUAUCGAUGGUUUCAAUUUUUGCAAGCCCAUUGUACAAGUUGAUGGGACAUUUCUAAUCGGAAGAUACCAUGGAACAUUGUUGACCGCAACCGCUCAAGAUGGGAAUCGAAACAUAUUUCCAUUGGCGUUUGUGAUUGUUGAAGGCGAGACUCGGGAGGCUUUAAUUUGGUUCUUCCAAUUAUUGCGACAAUAUGUGACACCUCAUUCGAAUUUGUGCAUGAUUACUGAUAGAGGAACCGAUAUAAUUUCAGCAUUACAAUUCGAAGAAGUUGGAUGGGAAGGAGAGGGCCUUGUUUCUGUGUAUUGCAUACGCCAUAUCGCAUCGAAUUUCAACAAAAAAUUCAAAAAUGUUGAGCUGAAACGGCAAUUGAUUAACAUGGGUAAUGACAUUCCUUACCUUCUCUCACAGAUAAUUAUGACCUUUUACCAUUUAACUAAUUUCAUUUACUUCUUUAUGACAGCUUAUGAGAUGAAACAACCCAUAGUACAAGCAAAGCUAUCAGUUAUGCGAUCUGAGUUCAAGCAAGCAUUUUCUUGGAUAGAUCGCAUACCAUUAGAGAAAUGGACUCAAGCAUAUGAUGGGGGAAAGAGGUAUGGUCAUAUGACCACAAAUCUAGCAGAAUGCAUUAACUCUGUGCUUAAGGGAGCUCGUUCUUUGCCGAUUUCCGCUUUGGUUAAGGCAACUUUUGAAAAAACAAAAACAUGGUUUGUUGAACGAGUCUUCAAAAUAGACACCAUGUUACGCGCAGGUCAUUAUUAUUCAGAAGAUAUCACAACCUUACCUUAAAAAAAAAAACAAGAUUCGUCUAUGUGUUUUGUGAAAAGGUUUAAUGUAGAAAAUUCUGAAUUUGAUGUCCAAGAAUUAGCCACCCCCCAACAUGGUCGGCGACCUCAAUCAUAUACAGUUAGAUUAAAUGAUUGGUGGUGUGAUUGUGGCCAUUUCCAAGCUCUUNNNNNNNNNNNNNNNNNNNNNNNNNNNNNNNNNNNNNNNNNNNNNNNNNNNNNNNNNNNNNNNNNNNNNNNNNNNNNNNNNNNNNNNNNNNNNNNNNNNNCUCCACACGAUUAGAAAGGCAUAUCAAGUUGAAUUCCACCCCGUUCAAAACGAGGAUUAUUGGUCUACUUAUACCGGGCCAAAUUUCAUACCAGAACCCCACAUGCGACAUAAAAACUCGGGACGACCAAUUACGACUUGUUUGCAUAAUGAAAUGGAUCAAUCAAUUCAGAACAAGACAAAAAGAUGUUCUUACUAUCGCAAUGAAGGUCACAACAGAGGAAAUUGUCCAUUUAGACAGUAGAGUCAUGCUUUGUAAUGUUGUUCUCAUCAAAUAUUUUAAUAUCAUCUUCUUUUAAUGACUUAUAUUGAAUAAUUUAUUUUAUUUUUAAUACAUUUAUUUUACAUAAAUACAUGUAUAUUAUUUCUUUUUACAUAUUAUAUAAUUUAUACUUUCAUAUAUUAUAUAAUCUAAAAAUUUAUAAAUAAAUUAUAUCACAUUUUUAUAAGUGUAUUUUUAACUUUAACGAUAUUUAAAAAAUACUAAAUAUUUUUAAUUUAUCAAACAAAUCAUUUUUAAUCCAAUUUAUUUAAAAUUAUUGUAAAAAUAUUCAUUUUAAUUAUUCAACUUUAUAUAUCAUUUUCUUAAAUAAAAAAAAAUUAAAUUUUGGUAUUAUUUAUAAAAUACUUUUUUUAAUUAUAUAUUUUUAUUUUUAAAAAUAUUAAUUAUAUUUUUUUAAAAAAAUAAAAUCAAUUGAACUUGGCAAUUGAAUUGACAAUUUUAAUUGAGAUAAAAUACAUUGAAGUUGCCAACCCAGUAUUCAAUUUUAUUUAAACUAAAGUUGCCAAUCUAGUUGAAAAUUUUAAUUAAAAGAAUAAAAGUAGAAGGGUUAAGGAAUUUAAUUUAUGUUGCCUACACCAUUGGCAACUUUGACAAAAAAAUGCCCAUUCUUGUAAUAUUUUCUGAAUCCGUCCAUAUUUAAGUAAAUCUAAAAAAAAACUGCACCAUUUUAGUAAAAUUCCCCUCUUCUCUCUUUAGGUUAUGCAAUAAUGAUAUUUUUUUUUUCAUUCUUAUCUACAUUGAUGACAUUAUCUACAUUGAUGACAUCUUGAUUACUGGUAGUUCCCUAGUUCUUGUUAAAAGUUUUAUCAAAUUAUCGAGUGACAAGUUUUCAUCGAAAGACUUGGGUUUGUUAGCUAAAUGAUGACAACUUUCAUCUACCUCAUUAUUAGGGAUCUUCUACAUCGUGCAAAGAUGAUCAAUUCAAAUCCUCAAUCCAUUCAUAUUGUUUUGUCACCUUGUUUAACUGAUGAUGGAUCUGUGUUGUUGAAGAUCCUAUUCUCUAUUGCUCUAUAGCUGGUGCUUUUUAUUAUGUCACAAUUACUCAAUUGAAGCUCUCUUUCUAUGUUAAUAAAGUAUGUCAAUAUAUGCAUCAUCCUCAAGUUCACCAAUGAAAAGCAGUGAAACACAUCCUUCAGCACUUAGUUGGAACUUCAAACCAUGGUUUUCAUCUUCGUUCAUGCUUAGAUUUCUCCAUAGAUGGUUUUUGCGAUUCUGAUUGGGGCUCCAGCUUGGACAAUCGAAAAUCCACUACAGGCUACUACAUUAUGUGUGACAAAACCUUGUGGCUUGGUCUUCUCGCAAAACAAAAGGUUGUUUCUCCAAGCAGCUUAGUCUUUUCUUAAUUGAAGUACACAUUUCUACUUCUACACCAAAGUUAUAUACUGAGACGAUAUUGGUGUUGUUCUUCUCGUGAUCAAUCCAGUUAUGCACUUUGAACUUAAUCUUCAUUUUGUGCGUGAUUGUGUCACAAAAGCAUCUUCUUCUAAUUGCAGUUUCAAGUAGUUGAUUUACUAACCAAACUAAUUUAUGGUGCUGUCUUUCAUAAGUUCAAGUUCAAGAGUAAACUUUUGAUUGUUGAAAACUCUUCCAUAAGUUUAUCAUAUAGAUAAAGAGAGAGAAUAACACCAUUUAAGUAAGAUAAAUGUUGUGCAUGGAAAAAAAAAUUAACUAUGCGACAAAGGGAACCUCACUUUAUAGAAGAAUCCAAAAAGGUGAAAAAAAAGCAACACCAUUAUUGAAAUAAUUCAAUAAAAGAAAGAACAAGAGAAUUAGAUUCCAGCCAAAUUAAGUGUAAGAUUAACAUUUCCCUUCAUGUCAUGUCAGUGAGCAAAGAAUCUUUAGUUUGUGUAUUUAUACAAAUCCCUUACGAGCCCAAUAAUAAUGCAGUGGAGGAGGACCAUUUGAUUAUUAGUUCAGGUGAAGUGGUCAAACAGAGAUAUAAUAUAAUAUUUCGUCUUUAGGUUCAUCAGAUCCAAGUAAUAAUAAUCCAUUUACAUCAUAUGCAUGUCUCCAUCUAUUUCUUCAUAGAUUUUCAAUUUUCAUUCCAGUUCUGUUCAUCAUUAGCUAUUACAUUACAUUUUUUCUCAUGUUUAUGAUUUUAACUGAGUAUAAUGAACAGGAGUGGUGUGUAUGGUGGGAAGAUUCAAGUGGUUUCACUCUUUUUUCUUAUAUGUUUGAAUAUUAGCAAAAUGAGGGCAUGUUUGUUGGCUUCAACUGUGUUGGAUUAUGCUUGCAGACUGUCAUACAUGCAUCUAUACUGAUAAGAUGCAUAUAAGUUUAUAUAUAUAUAUAUGGCAUGAUAUGUGAUGCAUGCAUCUUAUAUAUAACCUUUUGGUUUGUUGGAGUAAACUUGUUGAUGUCUUUUAGAUUUUCUAAAAUAGCUCUUAAUCCUAUAUAUUUAUGCAGGUUCUUCACUUUUUCUCCUUUACCACUCUCCAAUAAUGGUGGAACCCAAAUGCAACGAAAGGUUAAGAAAUAAAGCAAAAGGUUAUAAGUUUCAAAAAGACAUAUACGAACCUGCCCAAAAUGGAGACAAAAUUAAAGGAGAAAAUGAAAACAAGAAAGGAAAGUGUUUUUCAUCUCUUUUUCCUUUUAAGUGUAUCAACUUUUAAUUGUAUUUUUUGCCUCAAAGUGAUGAAACUUCUAGUGUAUGAAACCAGAAAUAAAUAUGUAUUGUUUCAGGAAUAAAAGUAUUUUUAAAUUUUGUUUCAUUUCUGAUAUAAACAUGCACUAACUCGAAAUUCA
This 29382-nucleotide long non-coding RNA is filed under the name Phaseolus vulgaris (common bean). RNAcentral's name for it is "long non-coding RNA (PVUL_LNC001449)". The record is from RNAcentral. Lineage: Eukaryota; Viridiplantae; Streptophyta; Magnoliopsida; Fabales; Fabaceae.